UGAGUACAGUGGCGACCGGGUGAGUAACACGUGGAUAACCUACCGCCGAGUGGGGAAUAACCCUGGGAAACCGGGGCUAAUUCCGCAUAACACCCCGGGUCUUCGGUCCUGGGGUUGAAACCCGCAAGGGGCUGGGCGAGGGGUCCGCGGCCGAUUAGCUAGUUGGUGAGGUAACGGCCCACCAAGGCCAUGAUCGGUAGCCGGCCUGAGAGGGCGGACGGCCACACUGGAACUGAAACACGGUCCAGACUCC
This 253-nucleotide ribosomal RNA is filed under the name uncultured bacterium. RNAcentral describes it as "partial 16S ribosomal RNA". It matches the Rfam family "Bacterial small subunit ribosomal RNA", at positions 87 to 339 of the family's 1533-position model. The record is from RNAcentral.